RNAcentral lists this non-coding RNA (48 nucleotides) under Schistosoma mattheei. Lineage: Eukaryota; Metazoa; Platyhelminthes; Trematoda; Strigeidida; Schistosomatidae. The record is from RNAcentral. RNAcentral also lists the same sequence under 1 other name.
AUCCAGCCGACGAGUCCCAAAUUGGACGAAACGCGCGUCAAACUGGAU